CAGGAGAAGAAGAGAGAGUCACACAGGCGUGAGAGCUCGCACUGGAGUCUUGCUAGUAAAGUUAGCUUAUGUUAGAAAACCAAUGCAGUGAAGUGAUAUUGUGUGUAUGUAUGUAAACUUUUAGAAGAUUCAAGGUGGAUACAGCGACAGCUAGUCAAAUCGACGUUCGCUUUGUGCCGUGGAAGUGAGUUCCGGAACUUUUAGUGAGAAUAGCCAUAUGUGGCCAUCCCGCCCACUCAUUUGAGCAUCGUUCCCGGAUCGUCAGUGACCCGACACAACUGUGGACUGUCGCGACGACGUCUCCACUCCAGCAUUACCAACACUAUGUGUGCCAUCACCACAGUGAGGAGGAGGAGGAGGACGCCGCCGCACGAAAUCAAUGGCGGGAGAAAGGUUUUCUGUCGGGAGAGGAGAGGAGACAGCCGAGUCUGAGAAACACACUCUUCUUCUGGCAGCAUUUGGCUGCGGCAGGCCUGUGAGGCCCGCUGGCUCUGAAGUGGUUUGGACAGUGUGCUGAGGAGACCAACACCUCCUCCUCCACCACCACCUCCUCCUUCACCACAUGCCUCAGCCGUUUACUCAUCUGUUCAUUGACUAAUGGAGGGGCGGGUCAGAGGUCAACUCCUGCACAGACAAACAAAUAUGCUCUUCUCCUGGCUCUCUUCCCUAGCGGGGAUAACUAAUUACCAUCAAUGGCCUUGAUUGAUAGUCAUUACUUUGAUUGGAAAUCAGUAACCGCCAUCAGUGCAGUUAUUGUUGAUGAAAAGGCUGGCUGUUUUAAUGCAUAUGAAUAAAGCUGAUUAUUUUUUGUCAUACUGUGUGCCAUAAGGUAUGUUUAUGUAGACAAAACUCACAUAUACCGCUCACAUUAUACACUGG
Clupea harengus (Atlantic herring) is the source of this 879-nucleotide long non-coding RNA. The record is from Ensembl. NCBI's taxonomy places the organism in Eukaryota, Metazoa, Chordata, Actinopteri, Clupeiformes, Clupeidae.